This 318-nucleotide ribosomal RNA is filed under the name uncultured Pseudomonas sp. Its description in RNAcentral is "bacterial SSU rRNA". It matches the Rfam family "Bacterial small subunit ribosomal RNA", at positions 1067 to 1382 of the family's 1533-position model. Lineage: Bacteria; Pseudomonadati; Pseudomonadota; Gammaproteobacteria; Pseudomonadales; Pseudomonadaceae. The record is from RNAcentral.
GUGAGAUGUUGGGUUAAGUCCCGUAACGAGCGCAACCCUUGUCCUUAGUUACCAGCACGUUAUGGUGGGCACUCUAAGGAGACUGCCCGGUGACAAACCGGAGGAAGGUCGGGGAUGACGUCAAGUCAUCAUGGCCCUUACGGCCUGGGCUACACACGUGCUACAAUGGUCGGUACAAAGGGUUGCCAAGCCGCGAGGUGGAGCUAAUCCCAUAAAACCGAUCGUAGUCCGGAUCGCAGUCUGCAACUCGACUGCGUGAAGUCGGAAUCGCUAGUAAUCGUGAAUCAGAAUGUCACGGUGAAUACGUUCCCGGGCCUU